GGGAGGCAGGAGGGUUCUAACAUAUGGGCCCGGACCGGCCACAGGAUGCAAGAGGAGUGAGAGUCAGAGGAGAAGGUGAUAUGAUGGAAGAGAUAUACAGAGAUUGGAAUGCUGUGCUUUGAAGAUGGAAGAAGCAACUAUAAGCCAAGGAAGACAUACAGCCACUAAAAGCUGGAAUGCAAGUUCACAGGUGUUUACUGUACGCUGGUCACUGUUCCAGGCACUGGGA
This is a long non-coding RNA of Lemur catta (Ring-tailed lemur), 229 nucleotides long. RefSeq lists it as uncharacterized. The transcript has 3 exons. The record is from RefSeq and is a predicted model, not a curated record. Lineage: Eukaryota; Metazoa; Chordata; Mammalia; Primates; Lemuridae.